CCAAUAGCGUAUAUUAAAGUUGUUGCAGUUAAAAAGCUCGUAGUUGAAUUUCGGGAUCAGUACGCCGGUCGUGCCUCCGGUAUGUACUGGUGUCACUGAUUCCUCCCUUCUGAAGAACUAUCAUGCCAUUAAAUUGGUGUGGUGGGGAAUCAGGACUGUUACUUUGAAAAAAUUAGAGUGUUUAAAGCAGGCUCACGCUUGAAUACAUUAGCAUGGAAUAAUGAAAUAGGACGUUGAUCUUAUUUUGUUGGUUUCUAGGAUUGACGUAAUGAUUAAUAGGGAUAGUUGGGGGCAUUAGUAUUCAAUUGUCAGAGGUGAAAUUCUUGGAUUUAUUGAAGACUAACUACUGCGAAAGCAUUUGCCAAGGAUGUUUUCAUUAAUCAAGAACGAAAGUUAGGGGAUCGAAGACGAUCAGAUACCGUCGUAGUCUUAACCAUAAACUAUGCCGACUAGGGAUCGGAUGAUGUUAAUUUUUUAAUGACUCAUUCGGCGCCUUACG
This 499-nucleotide ribosomal RNA is filed under the name uncultured Glomeromycotina. RNAcentral describes it as "partial small subunit ribosomal RNA". It matches the Rfam family "Eukaryotic small subunit ribosomal RNA", at positions 591 to 1092 of the family's 1831-position model. The record is from RNAcentral. Lineage: Eukaryota; Fungi; Glomeromycota.